UGGCGGCGANUGGCGAACGGGUGAGUAAUAUAUCGGAACGUACCCUGGAGUGGGGGAUAACGUAGCGAAAGUUACGCUAAUACCGCAUACGAUCUAAGGAUGAAAGUGGGGGCUCGCAAGACCUCAUGCUCCUGGAGCGGCCGAUAUCUGAUUAGCUAGUUGGUGGGGUAAAGGCCCACCAAGGCAUCGAUCAGUAGCUGGUCUGAGAGGACGACCAGCCACACUGGAACUGAGACACGGUCCAGACUCCUACGGGAGGCAGCAGUGGGGAAUUUUGGACAAUGGGCGCAAGCCUGAUCCAGCAAUGCCGCGUGAGUGAAGAAGGCCUUCGGGUUGUAAAGCUCUUUUGUCAGGGAAGAAACGGGUGGGGCUAAUAUCCUCACCUAAUGACGGUACCUGAAGAAUAAGCACCGGCUAACUACGUGCCAGCAGCCGCGGUAAUACGUAGGGUGCAAGCGUUAAUCGGAAUUACUGGGCGUAAAGCGUGCGCAGGCGGUUUUGUAAGUCUGUCGUGAAAUCCCCGGGCUCAACCUGGGAAUGGCGAUGGAGACUGCAAGGCUAGAGUUUGGCAGAGGGGGGUAGAAUUCCACGUGUAGCAGUGAAAUGCGUAGAUAUGUGGAGGAACACCGAUGGCGAAGGCAGCCCCCUGGGUCAAAACUGACGCUCAUGCACGAAAGCGUGGGGAGCAAACAGGAUUAGAUACCCUGGUAGUCCACGCCCUAAACGAUGUCUACUAGUUGUCGGGUCUUAANUNGACUUNNNNACGCAGCUAACGCNNGAAGNANANCGNCNUGGGG
RNAcentral lists this ribosomal RNA (797 nucleotides) under Duganella sp. RNAcentral describes it as "bacterial SSU rRNA". It matches the Rfam family "Bacterial small subunit ribosomal RNA", at positions 86 to 873 of the family's 1533-position model. The record is from RNAcentral. Lineage: Bacteria; Pseudomonadati; Pseudomonadota; Betaproteobacteria; Burkholderiales; Oxalobacteraceae.